UCUCCUUCUCGAUCUCUCCUCCUCUCUCCUGGUCUUCAUCCGUGAUUCUUCCUCAGUCUCUCCCUCCGUUCGUCUCGCCUCUCCCUACGCAACACCAGCCGUCUCUCCUGUGGUCCUCUCUUCCCCAAUCAUCCCGAUCCCUUCUCUCCGAGGCAGCCGUUCUCUCUCUCCAUCCCAUGUCCUCUCUCCUUCCUGGGCGGACGGAGACUCGGGCAUAGUGUUGGUGGCCGUGGAUGAAGUUGGCGCCAUAUGCAAGGUUGGGGACGAGGAGUCGUUGAGGCAUGGCGUUGGAGGCUGUGGAAGGAGCCGUCCCUAGGGUUGGGCGCUCCUGAACGGGGAUGGCGGCUAUAGCUUGCGGUGGUGCUCACUCGUGCCGAUGCAGAUGGAUUCUUCGACCCACAAGAAGAUGUGUGACGGGCUGCUCAACUCCAGUGAGAAGCUUCUAUUGUGGUAGGCAGCCCGUGGUCAUGGCAGGACCCGAUGUCGUUGCUCGGUACUAUGGGAGCUCGCCUGCGUCCAAAUGUGAAUGAAAUAGGAAAUUAAGAUAUGGCAUGCAGCUGAGAUUA
Long non-coding RNA from Triticum aestivum (bread wheat), 566 nucleotides. RefSeq lists it as uncharacterized. Lineage: Eukaryota; Viridiplantae; Streptophyta; Magnoliopsida; Poales; Poaceae. The record is from RefSeq and is a predicted model, not a curated record. The transcript is spliced from 2 exons.